Long non-coding RNA from Rosa rugosa (rugosa rose), 625 nucleotides. RefSeq lists it as uncharacterized. The transcript is spliced from 5 exons. The record is from RefSeq and is a predicted model, not a curated record. NCBI's taxonomy places the organism in Eukaryota, Viridiplantae, Streptophyta, Magnoliopsida, Rosales, Rosaceae.
GGGUUUCAUGACAUUCUCAACAACUAAGGAUCGACAUAUUAUUUACAAGGCUAGAGAUGUUCUUGAACUUCUGUUAAGCCCUCACUGGCAAUAGAAGUGCUGAAUGGCAGGCUGAAGCAUGAUAUCAUCAAGGCCUGGGUAUUUUAAUGGUGGGAUUGGUUCAGAAUUGAAGAUUGAUAAGGAGACGUUCGUUAAGCAGACUGGACAUUUCAAAGCCUCUUUACAGGAUCUUGCUGAUGUGCCGCAUUGUUAUAUUUAUACCAAUGGAAACAUUGUUGCUGCUCUGGCGACUGAAAAUGGAUGAUUAAGCUUGGUCAGGGAAGUGGUUACACGCUGCAUUGCUAGCAAUGAGGAUCCAGCAAGUAUGAUCCAGGAGUUUAAAAGAACAAGAGUUUGAUCAUCUGUUGGGACUUUUGAAGAAUGGUUUAGGUUUAGGAGUUUGAUCAUCUGUCGGACUUUUGAAGUCUAGUUUUAGGGUGGACUUUUGAAGUUUAGUUUUAGGGUGUACUGUCUAGUGCCCACUACUGGAGUAGUAAUAUUUGUUAAUGGUAUCUGCUUGAGGACCAAAGCUCUGGCUUUUAGCUUUUAGCUUGUGUGAAUGACAUUUGCAGAUUGUUCUUCACAA